This 505-nucleotide ribosomal RNA is filed under the name uncultured bacterium. RNAcentral's name for it is "partial 16S ribosomal RNA". It matches the Rfam family "Bacterial small subunit ribosomal RNA", at positions 28 to 507 of the family's 1533-position model. The record is from RNAcentral.
GACGAACGCUGGCGGCGUGCCUAAUACAUGCAAGUAGAACGCACAGUUUAUACCGUAGCUUGCUACACCAUAGACUGUGAGUUGCGAACGGGUGAGUAACGCGUAGGUAACCUGCCUGGUAGCGGGGGAUAACUAUUGGAAACGAUAGCUAAUACCGCAUAAUAUUGAUUAUUGCAUGAUAAUUGAUUGAAAAAUGCUAUUGCAUCACUACCAGAUGGACCUGCGUUGUAUUAGCUAGUAGGUGAGGUAACGGCUCACCUAGGCGACGAUACAUAGCCGAGCUGAGAGGGUGAACGGCCACACUGGGACUGAGACACGGCCCAGACUCCUACGGGAGGCAGCAGUAGGGAAUCUUCGGCAAUGGACGAAAGUCUGACCGAGCAACGCCGCGUGAGUGAAGAAGGGUUUCGGAUCGUAAAGCUCUGUUGUAAGAGAAGAACGGGUGUGAGAGUGGAAAGUUCACACUGUGACGGUAUCUUAACAGAAAGGGACGGCUAACUACGUG